CACGCGGAGGGAUCAUUACUGAGUUUACGCUCUAUAACCCUUUGUGAACAUACCUAUAACUGUUGCUUCGGCGGGUAGGGUCUCCGCGACCCUCCCGGCCUCCCGCCUCCGGGCGGGUCGGCGCCCGCCGGAGGAUAACCAAACUCUGAUUUAACGACGUUUCUUCUGAGUGGUACAAGCAAAUAAUCAAAACUUUUAACAACGGAUCUCUUGGUUCUGGCAUCGAUGAAGAACGCAGCGAAAUGCGAUAAGUAAUGUGAAUUGCAGAAUUCAGUGAAUCAUCGAAUCUUUGAACGCACAUUGCGCCCGCCAGCAUUCUGGCGGGCAUGCCUGUUCGAGCGUCAUUUCAACCCUCAAGCUCUGCUUGGUGUUGGGGCCCUACAGCUGAUGUAGGCCCUCAAAGGUAGUGGCGGACCCUCCCGGAGCCUCCUUUGCGUAGUAACUUUACGUCUCGCACUGGGAUCCGGAGGGACUCUUGCCGUAAAACCCCCCAAUUUUCCAAAGGUUGACCUCGGAUCAGGUAG
Molecule: ribosomal RNA, 524 nt
Filed under: Colletotrichum cf. gloeosporioides ROG-2010
Lineage: Eukaryota; Fungi; Ascomycota; Sordariomycetes; Glomerellales; Glomerellaceae
Description: eukaryotic LSU rRNA
Rfam family: 5.8S ribosomal RNA (bases 191-344)
Source: RNAcentral